ACAGACACCACACAUACAGGGAGAGAAAGAGAGAGGUAGAUUAAUGGUUGAUCUCCCAGUUAUUUGCUCAUCUUCCAGUCUUGUGUCAUAUCUUCUCUUCAAGCACUGUUAAGAUGCUCGAGACUGCUUACUACCAGCUAGAGCUAGCUACUCGGUCUGAAAGAAUGGUCUGCCUGGCUCCCUGAAUGCCAUCUAGGAAGCUUGUCAAAGAGUGUUGGCAACCUCUCUAACUGGCAUGAGGGGAGUCAUGCAGGCCCAACUACAGCUUACUGCUACCCGAUAUUGAAUUCAUGAGGGAAAUGGCCAAGAAAGACCUUUUGAUUUCCUUCGAAGUCUCAUGCACGUGGGAAGCUACCUUUGAACUCGAUGCAUAUUCAGUAUUUACUUCAUCAGCUAUAUGUGUAGCCUACACGUUUCUUACAGUUUCCCAGGAAGCAAUGAAGUCAAUGAUCAAGUCUUCUACCAUGAAGGGACAUGCAUAUUGAAUUUCAUCCUUUCAAUGUACAAAUUUGAACUUGAAGCUUUCUAGGAAAAACUAAUUCCAAGUCUUAAUUGUUUUAACAUUCGGAUGAAGACAUUUAGCAGUAAAAUCAACAAUUCGAUGAAUAGUAGAGAGAGAUUGGAACAAUUUGGAUAGGUGAUUGAUGAUAACAUUGGAGCAAACAGUAUCGUAGGAAGACCAAAUUAAAAUGAUAGAUGAGCGUCCAUACAUUGAGAAGAAGGCGUCAAGCAGUCACAUGGACAUGCAUGAUCGAUGUGUAUUUAAUGUUUAAGGUAGACCUCCCCUUUCUGUGACAUUUUUACGUGCCCUUUCUAAAUAUUAUUCUACCUCUUAUAUAUGUAUAUAUAAACUUGUAUAUGAAGUUUGAAAAUGGACAGCAAAAUAAUCACCUCCCUCUUCCUCUCUCCCUCCCUUCCUUCUAUACGUAUAGGUUCAUAACUCAUAGAGACCAAGCUUUGAAUUAUUUCUUCGCAAUUUGGAAUUUCUUAAUUUGUUCUAUCCAUAACAAGUAGUGUGAUCAGAAGAUGACGAAGGUAAA
Molecule: long non-coding RNA, 1040 nt
Organism: Populus trichocarpa (black cottonwood)
Lineage: Eukaryota; Viridiplantae; Streptophyta; Magnoliopsida; Malpighiales; Salicaceae
Exons: 3
Source: RefSeq, a predicted model, not a curated record